Molecule: ribosomal RNA, 460 nt
Filed under: uncultured bacterium
Lineage: Bacteria
Description: partial 16S ribosomal RNA
Rfam family: Bacterial small subunit ribosomal RNA
Source: RNAcentral
CCUACGGGAGGCUGCAGUGAGGAAUAUUGGUCAAUGGGCGUAAGCCUGAACCAGCCAAGUCGCGUGAGGGAUGAAGGUUCUAUGGAUCGUAAACCUCUUUUAUAAGGGAAUAAAGUGCGGGACGUGUCCCGUUUUGUAUGUACCUUAUGAAUAAGGAUCGGCUAACUCCGUGCCAGCAGCCGCGGUAAUACGGAGGAUCCGAGCGUUAUCCGGAUUUAUUGGGUUUAAAGGGUGCGUAGGCGGCCUUUUAAGUCAGCGGUGAAAGUCUGUGGCUCAACCAUAGAAUUGCCGUUGAAACUGGGAGGCUUGAGUAUGUUUGAGGCAGGCGGAAUGCGUGGUGUAGCGGUGAAAUGCUUAGAUAUCACGAAGAACACCGAUUGCGAAGGCAGCCUGCCAAGCCAUGACUGACGCUGAUGCACGAAAGCGUGGGGAGCAAACAGGAUUAGAUACCCGUGUAGUC